GGGGCCGUUGUAUCCUGCCACCACAAUCUCGAAGUUGCCGUCAGCAUCCAGGUCGGUGACAGCCACGCCAUAGUUGAGCUGUGUUGGGUUGCUGUCAUAGUCAGGCGGGAGCAGUCGGUGGGUGACGGCGGUGAACAUGGGCUCACUGCGCUGGGAGCCCUCACUGAGCCAGGCCAGAGACAGCAGGCACAGCACCAGCAUCCUGGGCACGGGCGCGGGGGGUUGCCCGGUGCCCCCGCGGCGGCGGUAGCGGGGGGAGCGCAUCCCGCAGCGCCCGCCUCGCCGCUUGCCGCCCGCCUCCCGGUUCCGCGCCGCCCGACUCCCGACGGC
Molecule: long non-coding RNA, 330 nt
Filed under: Gallus gallus (chicken)
Lineage: Eukaryota; Metazoa; Chordata; Aves; Galliformes; Phasianidae
Source: RNAcentral